GUUGCGGUUAAAAAGCUCGUAGUUGGAUCUCGGCAAGUAGAGGGCGGUAUGCUUCGUAGCAUUACUGCCCUAUUACUUGUAGUUUUGCCAGAGGUUCCUGGGUGCUCUUAAUCGAGUGUCUAGGGAUGCUGGCAGGUUUACUUUGAAAAAAUUAGAGUGCUCAAAGCAGGCUAUUACGCUUGAAUAUUCGUGCAUGGAAUAAUAGAAUAGGAAGUUGUUUCUAUUUUGUUGGUUUUCGGAAAUCGACUUAAUGAUUAAUAGGGACAGUCGGGGGCAUUUGUAUUCAAACGACAGAGGUGAAAUUCUUGGACCGUUUGAAGACAAACUACUGCGAAAGCAUUUGCCAAGAAUGUUUUCAUUAAUCAAGAACGAAAGUUAGAGGUUCGAAGGCGAUUAGAUACCGCCCUAGUUCUAACCAUAAACGAUGCCAGCUAGCGAUCUGAGGACGUUUUUUUUGUAGACUCCUCAGGAAGCUUCCCGGGAAACCAAAGCGUGUGGGUUCCCGGGGGAAGUAUGGUUGCAAAGCUGAAACUUAAAGGAAUUGACGGAAGGGCACCACCAGGAGUGGAGCCUGCGGCUUAAUUUGACUCACACGGGAAAUCUCACC
Molecule: ribosomal RNA, 607 nt
Filed under: uncultured marine eukaryote
Lineage: Eukaryota
Description: SSU rRNA
Rfam family: Eukaryotic small subunit ribosomal RNA
Source: RNAcentral